Molecule: ribosomal RNA, 440 nt
Filed under: uncultured bacterium
Lineage: Bacteria
Description: bacterial SSU rRNA
Rfam family: Bacterial small subunit ribosomal RNA
Source: RNAcentral
ACUCCUACGGGAGGGCAGCAGUGGGAAUAUUGCACGAAUGGGCGCAAGCCUGAUGCAGCCAUGCCGCGUGAUGUGCAAGAAGGGCCUUUCGGGUUGAUAAGCACUUUCAGUCGUGAGGAAGGUGGUGUUGUUAAUAGCAGCAUCAUUUGACGUUAGCGACAGAAGAAGCACCGGCUAACUCCGUGCCAGCAGCCGCGGUAAUACGGAGGGUGCGAGCGUUAAUCGGAAUUACUGGGCGUAAAGCGCAUGCAGGUGGUUUGUUAAGUCAGAUGUGAAAGCCCGGGGCUCAACCUCGGAAUUGCAUUUGAAACUGGCAGACUAGAGUACUGUAGAGGGGGGUAGAAUUUCAGGUGUAGCGGUGAAAUGCGUAGAGAUCUGAAGGAAUACCGGUGGCGAAGGCGGCCCCCUGGACAGAUACUGACACUCAGAUGCGAAAGCGU